This 253-nucleotide ribosomal RNA is filed under the name uncultured bacterium. RNAcentral describes it as "partial 16S ribosomal RNA". It matches the Rfam family "Archaeal small subunit ribosomal RNA", at positions 474 to 727 of the family's 1478-position model. The record is from RNAcentral.
UACCAGCACCCCGAGUGGUCGGGACGAUUAUUGGGCCUAAAGCAUCCGUAGCCGGCCUUACAAGUCCUCCGUUAAAUCCAGCUGCUUAACAGAUGGGCUGCGGAGGAUACUAUAAGACUAGGAGGCAGGAGAGGCAAGCGGUACUCAGUGGGUAGGGGUAAAAUCCUGUAAUCCUUCGGGGAGGACCAGUGGCGAAGGCGCUACACUAGAACGGCUCUGACAGUGAGGGACGAAGCCCUGGGGCGCAAACCGG